GGAAUUCGCUAGUGGUGCGGGGCUAACACAGUGCGAGUCGAACGGCAGCAUGGAAGAGCUUGCUCUUCUGAUGGCGAGUGGCGAACGGGUGAGUAAAGCAUCGGAACGUACCGUGUAAUGGGGGAUAACGUAGCGAAAGUUACGCUAAUACCGCAUAGGACCUGAGGGUGAAAGCAGGGGAUCGCAAGACCUUGCGUUAUACGAGCGGCCGAUGUCAGAUUAGCUAGUUGGUAGGGUAAAGGCCUACCAAGGCGACGAUCUGUAGCGGGUCUGAGAGGAUGAUCCGCCACACUGGGACUGGGACACGGCCCAGACUCCUACGGGAGGCAGCAGUGGGGAAUUUUGGACAAUGGGGGCAACCCUGAUCCAUCCAAGGCGCGUGAGUGAAGGAGGCCUUCGGG
RNAcentral lists this ribosomal RNA (401 nucleotides) under uncultured bacterium. Its description in RNAcentral is "bacterial SSU rRNA". It matches the Rfam family "Bacterial small subunit ribosomal RNA", at positions 37 to 422 of the family's 1533-position model. The record is from RNAcentral.